This is a long non-coding RNA of Trifolium pratense (red clover), 719 nucleotides long. RefSeq lists it as uncharacterized. Lineage: Eukaryota; Viridiplantae; Streptophyta; Magnoliopsida; Fabales; Fabaceae. The transcript has 5 exons. The record is from RefSeq and is a predicted model, not a curated record.
AUCAACAAAGUUGAUAAUAAGGUUCAUCGUCUAAGAGUUUACUCUGUUGGGUGGGGUGCCACAGUAAUAACAGAUAAAACACAACUGUGGAACAUGGUGAAAAGAGAAAUAUUAUCUCAAAGGACGACUAGGAAUAUCCAAAAUGUUGCAGCAAGUAUUAGUAACCAUUCACACAAAUCUUUUAAAUUAAAGCAAGACAUCUCCAUUCUUCAGUUUUUCAAGAGUAAACAGUUCAUUGAUAAAGCAAUAUAUGGAGAACUGGUGAGAAUAUUUGCAAGAAUACUUGAGUAAAUCCAAUGGACUGCUUAGGAAUUGAAUUUUCAAAAUGACUAUGUCAGCAAGAGAGUGACUGAAUUAGUCAGUAGCAGGGAUUCCAAGUUUGUAACCAAAUGUUGUCGUUGUUAUUACGGAUAUAUAUAUAUAUAUAUAUGAUUAUGGUGUAAUUUCAACUUUUGAUGUUUAAUUUGAGAUUGCCUAUCAUCUCUACCGGUUAUUUGAUUGAAUUAAGACAUGUUUAAAUUUUGUGUUAAUGUUAGUCUUAUUUCGUCACAUUUCGUCAUUAAAGGGACUUUUACAUUGGAUUCAACGUCUCUAUGUAACUAUGUUUUAAUAACACAAUAUAUCUAUUAUAUGCUUCUUUUGGUACUGUCAAGAAAAAAUGUCUUCUUUUAGUUUUACUUUUAUCAACAAACUUACAUAAUUCAUGUUGCUAUGAUUUU